GGAUUGGGAUAUUCCGACUCCUUAAGGGCCUGGCGCACAUAAGGUGUGACCUUUUCAUUCCCGUUGUUAUGGAGGGCCACAUCUGCCAGAGCCUGGAGUCUGCGAAGGCCGGGACCCGGUUCCCCGGCCCACAGUGGGGGUGUGCAAACCCGAGAGAACUGGGUUGCAAAUUCGUGAAGAAUCAGCAUCAUGUUUGGCAGCUGAGUAUUGGAGCCAGGAGCCUGCCAUGAGGCAGAACCGGGUGGAACUGCAUGAGAAGCGACGGAGGCGCCAGCCCCAGCCAGCUCCCUGUGGCUCCUGGCACCAAUCAGGCCUCGAGGCUUCCUCAACACCAGCUUUCCUUCCCCUCCCAUUGGGCCCUGCAUCCCUGCCUUCUGCAACAUUGUGCUCCUGACCCUGGCUGGCUCCCAGCCCUCCACAGCUGGGCCCCACCUCAGAGCCUUUGCAUCAGGUAGCCCCAGAGUCAGAGAGAAGGCCCCCGACAAAGCCGCAGAUGGAGCUCAGCCCCAGGAAACACCUUUCCAGAGCAAGGCUCCAGCUCACUGUAGGACCACAGUCAAGUCUGUAUCCAGGCCGAGCGACAGCCGAUGCAGCCUCAGUGUUCCUUUGCCUUGGGGGUUUCUGAGUGGUGGGGUUGUAAGCAGAUCCUGCCAGGCACCCAGAAGGAAACCUCAUCAGGACUCCCUCAGAAAGGCCCUGAAGAAUCCUGUGACCUUCAUCUAAAGUAGGUCAUGAGACCCCUGAGCUUAAAACGGAGUGAUCGGCUUUGGAGAAGUAAGGAGACAUGACGUGCCUGCCCUGGGGUGGGGACUAAACUUCGUGCCACUCCACGUGAAAGGGGGAGGCAUGACUCCACAGUUUCUGCAACAACAGAGCCGGGGAAAGGAGGACGCAGCAAGCGCUGAAUAUUAACCAGCAAAGGUAGAUGCUUCAAUAUCGAAACCACCGGGACCCGCAUGUGCAAAGCUACUUAAUGAGGGUGUAAUCAAACACAGUCUACCAGAAGGAAAUUAAUUAGAGUCCGGAGAGCAAGCAGGAAGCAGAACCAGGCUGCUCCCCCUCCUGGCUCUAGAACAUCACUGGCAGCCACUGCUAAGGGAGGGACAAGGCUGGGGGAUGCCAGGCCUCAGCUGGGUGCCAGGGCUCCUGUCCUCUUCCCCGUGACAUUCCGGCUUGCCUUUGGGGGACACC
This 1191-nucleotide long non-coding RNA is filed under the name Homo sapiens (human). RNAcentral describes it as "non-protein coding LRRC75A-AS1:26". Lineage: Eukaryota; Metazoa; Chordata; Mammalia; Primates; Hominidae. The record is from RNAcentral.